GGCAAGAGUAACCUAGAAGGUGGUAAUGCCAGAUAAAACCUGUGUGAUGGUGGGGAGCAAAUUGUGUAUGAGAUGACAAUAGACAUCCAAAAGGCCAAUUAUUUCCUAUGCUUCAUAUGAAAUUACAUUAUGCUGCCAAGCAGUGAGAUGAUGGUCCCCAUAUAUUAAAAUAAAAGCAGCACAUGAUAACCCACCAGCUUCUGUUGGACAAUAUGCCAUGGAAUAUAUAGGAAACCAGUGAGUAAAAAUUAAGUUAGCAUAUGUUUCUGGAUGUUAGUAAUAUACCUUCAGAAUGUUGCAGGAUUGGGAGAGCAGAUGAUACUGCUAAGCUGUUUACCAUCCAAGUAGAGCUCUGCUGUGAACUGAUGACAACUGGAUUUCAAAUCUCCUCUUCUGUGAAAUUCUUUGCUCUUCACUUUUCUCUCCACAGGACUUGGAUGGCAUCAGGACCAGGCUUGGUGGAGAACUGAGCAGCUGCCGUGUGAAGAAAGCCCUUCCUACUCAGCCAUUAGAAACGACGAAUACUCACCUUUUGCUUCAACAUGGAUGGAACUGGAGGGUAUUAUGCUGAGUGAAGUAAGUCAAUCAGAGAAGGACAAACAUAUGGUCUCAUUCAUUUGGGGAAUAUAAGAAAUAGUGAAAGGGAAUAAAGGGGAAAGGAGUGAAAAUAAGUGGGAAAUAUCAGAGAGGGUGACAGAAGAUGAGAGACUCCUAACUCUGGGAAACGAACAAGGGGUAGUGGAAUGGGAGGUGGCGGGGUUUGGGGUGACUGGGUGACAGGCACUAAGGGGGAGUACUUGAAGGGAUGAGCACUGGGUGUUAUACUAUAUGUUGGCAAAUCAAACACCAAUAAAAAAAUAUACAAAGAAACAAACAAACAAACAAAAAAGCCCUUCCUAGAUCCUUCUUCCCUACCUUUCCUACAUAUCGAAGACUUCAGCUGCCAGGGGGGAAAAGACCACAAACAUCCUUCAAGCCAUAAGUGAAAAAAAUUCCAUUCCUGGAGCUGAGACAGAAAUCCAUCCAGGGUACAGACCUAUUGUCAGGCAUGAAACAGUAUUACAGAGAAAGUCUCACCUCUAACAUUGAAGCUUAAUCAGAACUACAGAGAAUGCCCUGUGCCCAGUACCUACAGAUAUCAAGUGGUCUACUACAGAGAGCAUGGCAAGAAUGUGGAGAGAGAACCUCUCUGAGAUGCUGCAUAAAGAAAACCCCUAAUUUGAGGGUAGAAUAGAUAUUGAGAAAAACCUAUUGACAAACCAAUCCCAAUAAUAGAAAUAUUUGAGGUCCAUGGUACACUAAGGAUAAUAGAAACAACACAUCCUGAACCUAGCUCAAUUCCUAACUAGAUAGAUUCAAAACCCCAUUUUGAAGUCCUCUGAAAAUAAAAGGCAGGCCUAUUUCCAUAUGUAAGAUUAUUUAUCUCACCUUCCACUAUACUGCAUAAAAUGUCCUGAUUUCAACAACAAAACAUUAUAAAGAGACAAAGCAAUCAAUAAGACAAUACCCACAGAUGAUUCAGAUAUUGCAAUAUCAGUGAAUAUUUUAAAAUUCUGACUGUAGGGACACCUGGGUGGUUCAGCUGUUGAGCAUCUACCUUUGGCUCAGGGCAUGAUCUCAGGUCGGGGGAUUGAGUCCCCCAUUGGGCUUCCUGUGAGGAGCUCGCUUCUCCCUCUGCCUGUGUCUCUGCCUCUAUCUAUGUGUCUCAUGAAAAAAUAAAUAAAAUCUUUUAAAAAAGAAAAAAAGAAAAAAGAAAAUUAUGACUAUUGUGUUGAAGGCUCUAGAGGGUAGUAUGUUUGAUGAGAAUAUUAAUUUUAGCAGAUAUUAAAUUAUUAUAAUGUUAGAGCACCUAAAUUUAGCAUUUUUUUAUAAAAUGAAAUAGAAUUACUCAAAAUUAAAAAGAAUCUGGUAGUAAGUAAUAAAAAAUGCUUUAAUAAGCUCAUCAUCGACUCGACAUAGACAAGAAAAAAAUCAGUGAACUUAAAGUUAUAUUGAAUAUAUAUCAAGAUAGACCAAAAGAAAUUAUUCAAACUAAAACCCAAACAGAAAAGGGAGAUUUUGGGGAUGGGUCUUUCAAGAGCAAACAUCCUAAGACGGAAAAAGCAGAAGCUGCUAAGAGGCACAGCAUUACUCUGACCUAUUCUAUUGACCAAUAUAGGCACAAUUUCUGUCCAUGUUCAAGAGGGCAGAGAAAAGCAUUAUAGCUCUUGGUGAGGAACAGCCAGUGUUACAUCACAUAAGAGCAUGUGGGGUGGGAGUUAUCAUUGCAGCCAUCUUUGUGAAAUAUAAUCUGUCACAUUAAUUUUAUUGACUUUCCAUCAUGUGAAAUUACAGGAUGUUUUAAGACAAGUAGCCCUGAAUCAGCUACCCAUAUGGAGUGGAGAGUUUGGCAACAAAAAUUCAAAUAAUAUAAUAGGGAGAAUGUGCCAAACAGCAUAGGCAAAGAACAAAGUUUCAAAGGAAAUAACAUUCCUGUGGGAAGAAAUUUAAAAAUAAUCCAUGCAAGAGUUGGAUCUUUGCAUGGACCACUUGAAGGGACAGAUACAAUUUUCACAGAUGAGAAAACAGGAAAGGACAUAUGGAAAGGACAUAACAGCUAGUGAGUAUUUCUAGUUUGUGGAAGCAAGAAAGCAAACAAAACACACAAAACAAGAUGGGAAAAACUUCUGGAAUCUUUGCAGGAAGCAUGAAAGAAUAGUGUUUAUAAAAGAAUAUUGGAAAUUUAAAAAGCAGAUGAGUGCAUGGAUGUUAUAAGGCAGAAGGAAGGAAAUAUCAAUUGAGCUCCAGCAAUACAUCAGGAAGGAUUCUGUAUACUUUGUGCUACUUAACUCACACUAUCUUCAUAGCCAUCCUGGAGGUUUUAGUACACAUAAAGGAAGUGGAGAUCUUUUCAAAAACUUGCCCAGGCAGAACAUGGAGUCCAUUUGUAUCCAGUUCCAGAGCCCCUAUUUUAUAGAUUUCUCCAUGUGCCUCUCCUUGAAGGUAUCUGAUUUGGUACUUUGUGGAAAUUCAUAGAAGAGUGUGGACAAGAAGGUAAAAUCAUUUUAAUUGUUCUUUAGAAAGAUUUGAAUGGGUCCUCUUAAAAAAAAGAACCCGAGGAUCCCUGGGUGGCUCAGCGGUUUAGCGCCUGCCUUUGGCUCUGGCACGAUCCUGGAGACCUGGGAUCCUGCAUGGAGCCUGCUUCUCCUUCCUCCUGGGUCUCUGCCUGUCUCUCUCUCUCUCUCUAUGUCUAUAAUAAAUAAAUUAAUUAAUUAAAAAAAAGAGAGAGAGAGAGAACCCAAGGAAGGUAGGGAGACCAGUCAGGAGACCACUACAAUAUCCCAUUAUGAGAG
RNAcentral lists this long non-coding RNA (3332 nucleotides) under Canis lupus familiaris (dog). Its description in RNAcentral is "lncRNA (ENSCAFG00030024536.1)". Lineage: Eukaryota; Metazoa; Chordata; Mammalia; Carnivora; Canidae. The record is from RNAcentral.